This 253-nucleotide ribosomal RNA is filed under the name uncultured bacterium. RNAcentral's name for it is "partial 16S ribosomal RNA". It matches the Rfam family "Bacterial small subunit ribosomal RNA", at positions 524 to 776 of the family's 1533-position model. The record is from RNAcentral.
UACGUAGGGCGCAAGCGUUGUUCGGAAUUACUGGGCGUAAAGCGCACGUAGGCGGCUUUGUAAGUUAGAGGUGAAAGCCCGGGGCUCAACUCCGGAAUUGCCUUUAAGACUGCAUCGCUAGAAUUGUGGAGAGGUAAGUGGAAUUCCGAGUGUAGAGGUGAAAUUCGUAGAUAUUCGGAAGAACACCAGUGGCGAAGGCGACUUACUGGACACAUAUUGACGCUGAGGUGCGAAAGCGUGGGGAGCAAACAGG